CCUACGGGUGGCAGCAGUGAGGAAUAUUGGUCAAUGGACGAGAGUCUGAACCAGCCAAGUAGCGUGAAGGAUGACUGCCCUAUGGGUUGUAAACUUCUUUUAUAUGGGAAUAAACUGUUCCACGUGUGGGCUUUUGUAUGUACCAUAUGAAUAAGGAUCGGCUAACUCCGUGCCAGCAGCCGCGGUAACACGGAGGAUCCGAGCGUUAUCCGGAUUUAUUGGGUUUAAAGGGAGCGUAGGUGGAUUGUUAAGUCAGUUGUGAAAGUUUGCGGCUCAACCGUAAAAUUGCAGUUGAAACUGGCAGUCUUGAGUACAGUAGAGGUGGGCGGAAUUCGUGGUGUAGCGGUGAAAUGCUUAGAUAUCACGAAGAACUCCGAUUGCGAAGGCAGCUCACUGGACUGCAACUGACACUGAGGCUCGAAAGUGUGGGUAUCAAACAGGAUUAGAUACCCUGGUAGUC
RNAcentral lists this ribosomal RNA (460 nucleotides) under uncultured bacterium. Its description in RNAcentral is "partial 16S ribosomal RNA". It matches the Rfam family "Bacterial small subunit ribosomal RNA", at positions 338 to 795 of the family's 1533-position model. The record is from RNAcentral.